This 399-nucleotide ribosomal RNA is filed under the name uncultured bacterium. RNAcentral's name for it is "bacterial SSU rRNA". It matches the Rfam family "Bacterial small subunit ribosomal RNA", at positions 29 to 456 of the family's 1533-position model. The record is from RNAcentral.
AACGAACGCUGGCGGCAGGCCUAACACAUGCAAGUCGAACGCCGUAGCAAUACGGAGUGGCAGACGGGUGAGUAACACGUGGGAACGUACCCUUCGGUUCGGAAUAACUCAGGGAAACUUGAGCUAAUACCGGAUACGUCCGAGAGGAGAAAGAUUUAUCGCCGAGGGAUCGGCCCGCGUCUGAUUAGCUUGUUGGUGAGGUAACGGCUCACCAAGGCGACGAUCAGUAGCUGGUCGAGAGGAUGAUCAGCCACAUUGGGACUGAGGCACGGCCCAAACUCCUACGGGAGGCAGCAGUGGGGAAUAUUGGGCAAUGGGCGAAAGCCUGACCCAGCAACGCCGCGUGAAGGAUGAAGUAUUUCGGUAUGUAAACUUCGAAAGAAUAGGAAGAAUAAAUGA